CCUACGGGAGGCAGCAGUGGGGAAUAUUGGGCAAUGGAGGCAACUCUGACCCAGCAACGCCGCGUGAAUGAUGAAGGUCUUCGGAUUGUAAAGCUCUGUGAUGGGGGAUGAACACAUUGACGUUACUCCAAUAGCAAGCCACGGCUAACUACGUGCCAGCAGCCGCGGUAAUACGUAGGUGGCAAGCGUUAGCCGGAAUGACUGGGCGUAAAGGGUGUGUAGGUUGUCUAGUAAGUUGGCGGUGAAAUUCCGGGGCUCAACCUGGGCGCUGCAGCCAAAACUAUUAGACUAGAGUGCAGGAGAGGUAAGUGGAAUUCGUGGUGUAGCGGUGGAAUGCGUAGAUAUUAGGAGGAACAUCAGGGGCGAAGGCGACUUACUGGACUGUAACUGACGCUGAGGCACGAAAGCGUGGGGAGCAAACAGGAUUAGAUACCCUUGUAGUC
RNAcentral lists this ribosomal RNA (443 nucleotides) under uncultured bacterium. RNAcentral describes it as "partial 16S ribosomal RNA". It matches the Rfam family "Bacterial small subunit ribosomal RNA", at positions 338 to 795 of the family's 1533-position model. The record is from RNAcentral.